GACGAACGCUGGCGGCGUGCUUAACACAUGCAAGUCGAGCGGAAAGGCCCUUCGGGUACGUCGAGCGGCGAACGGGUGAGUAACACGUGGGCGAACCUGCCCUCAGCUCUGGGACAACUCCGGGAAACCGGGGCGUAAUACCGGAUACGACCGCUGCCGGCAUCGGUGGUGGUGGAAAGUUCUUCGGCUGAGGAUGGGCCCGCGGCCUAUCAGCUUGUUGGUGGGGUGAUGGCCUACCAAGGCGACGACGGGUAGCCGGCCUGAGAGGGCGACCGGCCACACUGGACUGAGACACGGCCCAGACUCCUACGGGAGGCAGCAGUGGGGAAUAUUGCGCAAUGGGCGGAAGCCUGACGCAGCGACGCCGCGUGAGGGAUGAAGGCCUU
Molecule: ribosomal RNA, 386 nt
Filed under: uncultured bacterium
Lineage: Bacteria
Description: bacterial SSU rRNA
Rfam family: Bacterial small subunit ribosomal RNA
Source: RNAcentral